GCCCCUGGGACUUCUUCAGCCACAUGGACUCCCCCAGCGUCCGGCCUCUGCUCUCUCGGAACAACCUGCCCGCGUGUCAUAGGAAAACACUCAUUUCUACUUCGAGCAGAGUGGUUUAUUUCGGUUUCCUUAGGAAUCCCCGCCAAUUCCUAACUUGGCCACAGCUGUUUAUAACUCAGGUUUAUGAAUAUGUCUUCAGUUCUCCUUAUAAAAGCCCUCAGUGAGUCAUAAAGCAAGUGGGUUGGGAUAACACAGCUACUUACAAAUAAAGCGAAUUGAGCCGGGCAUGGUGGGCAGAUGCCUGUGAGCCCAGCACCCAGGAUGCUGAGGCAGGAGAAUCACCAUGAGUUCCGGGCCAGCCUGGGCAACAUAGUGAGACCCUGUCUCAAAAAACAAAUAAAAAAUACCUCAAGUAAACAAAUGAAGCGAAUCAAUUCCAUUCCUAAAAUAAAUGAGUUUUAUUUUUGAUGUUUUUGGUCAGUCGCCGCCCUUGGGUAGUAAAUGGACUGACUCUUUACCUUAUGCAAGUGAGUGGCCCUGAGUAGCUCAGAAAGGAUCUGAGCUCGUCUCGGUAGGGCUGCUAUUUUAUUGUUAUUUAUUUUAUUUUGGGUUUUUGAGACAAGGUCUCCCCGUUGUAACCCAGGCUGGCCUCGAACUUGCGGCGAUCCUCCUGUUUCAGCCUCCCGAGGGCUGGGAUCACAGGAGAGAAUGGGUUUAGUGAUGCAGUUUCCCAGCGUUUUCCCAGGAGGCCGCAGCCCUGCGUGUGAACAAGACGUGCCUUGCGCAAGUCACAGCUGCCUCCCAAGCCACAGUGCCGGAGCUCAGACGCUGACACACAGGACCCGAGCUGUUGGUUUAGCUCCCAGUAGAGCACCAGCCAGAAAGAAGAGGGGAGACAUGGACGCCAACACCCCAGGCAGAUGCACCACAAGCCCACUAGGACGGUGGACGCAGGAAGCCGCCGAGCAGCACAGAACGGGAGCACACACCCUCGUCAGACCCUGCAAAGCUAUUCGGCACCUUGGACAUUUUAUUUCAUUUCUUGAGACAGAGUCUAACUAUUUUGCCCAGGCCGGGCAGCAACUCCUGGACUCAAAGGAUCCUCCUGCCUCAGCCUCCCCGAUAAGCUGGGAUUCGAGGAACCUGGCUUGUUUGGCACUUGUUAUAAAGUUACAUUUGCACUCAUUUUUGAGCUUAGCAAUUUGAACCCUAGGUAUCUACCUGAAAGUAAUUUUAAAAGUACAUCUACGUCAAGGCGUGUUUAAAAAUAGAGCAGUGUGCUCCUGAUGGCCUCCAAAUGCAAAGUAAUAGAUCAACAGCUGAGUCGGUAGCGCUGAAAUGCAUGGGGUGGAAUGUCAGUGGGUGCGCGGUGCGGGGAGGAGCCGGUGGGAGAGACUUCACCGGCUGGAGGAAACCACUGGAUAAAAACUCCGGGAGAGGCCAAACCGAAGGAGCCAGGCCCUCGGGCUCCCUUCAGCGAGGUUGGGGGUUACGGCGAGCGGGGGGCCUCACGGUGCAGUUUGGGGCGCAGCGCAGAGGGAGAGCGGGAGAAGGGACGCGGUCUCCGCCGAGAUGCCCG
Long non-coding RNA from Fukomys damarensis (Damara mole-rat), 1579 nucleotides. The record is from Ensembl. NCBI's taxonomy places the organism in Eukaryota, Metazoa, Chordata, Mammalia, Rodentia, Bathyergidae.